This is a small nucleolar RNA of Abrus precatorius (Indian licorice), 130 nucleotides long. RefSeq annotates it as small nucleolar RNA snoR74. The transcript has a single exon. NCBI's taxonomy places the organism in Eukaryota, Viridiplantae, Streptophyta, Magnoliopsida, Fabales, Fabaceae. The record is from RefSeq and is a predicted model, not a curated record.
AAAAAAGCAGGGGUCUGUUUGACCUUGUGGACUGGCCUCUCGUAACCUUCAGGGAUAUAAUUUCCAUUGUUAUUGGGUGAACCUCUGUUCUUUGUUUCUGACGGAAGGUUCAGUAAAUGAUGGAACAAGC